This 654-nucleotide ribosomal RNA is filed under the name Triticum aestivum (bread wheat). Its description in RNAcentral is "partial small subunit ribosomal RNA". Lineage: Eukaryota; Viridiplantae; Streptophyta; Magnoliopsida; Poales; Poaceae. The record is from RNAcentral.
AUGUCCUGGGCCUCCCUCGCUGACGAGGACAAUGAGGAUGAUGAAGAAGAGUUGGCUCCGCUGACGCCGCCGGCUUUCAAAAGCCCGGUCUCGGCUGCUGACCCGACUGUUCCAUGCGUUGGGCACGAGAAGGAGACGAGUGGUGGAUGGCAAGAGGUUCUGCUUCGGCGCGGUCGGCGCUGUCAGGCGUCACCAACACCGGCAUUUGCUCCUCGUCCCAUCCCUGCCUGGCUCCAUGGUCGAUGUUGUCAAUGCCUCGCCCCUGGACACCGUGCAGCAGUUUGCAGAGAUCCUUUGCGAUGCUCCCGUUGCUUGGAGAACGGACAUUGGGCGCGCGGGUGCCGCAAUCCUUGGCGUCCGCUCAGCUCUUUGGCAUGCCUUGUCGCGCCACCACUGUCUCGCCUCAGCACCGAGCAUUGUCAAGCUCCAGCUUCUUCUGGGGGUCCGAUGAAAUCCACUCUCCCCUACAAAGCGCUUCAUCGAGGGUCCUGGGCGUCGAUUGUAUCUGAUGAUGUUGGCUCGGCACCCCCAACCGAUGUGAUGCUACAGUCCACUUUAGCAACUCAGGCCAAGUUGCUGAUGCGUGUUGGGAGCUUUCUGGAGCGGGCGGAGGCGGCCCUGGACAAGCUCUCUCUUGUGUCGGCUGUGUUGUAG